RNAcentral lists this long non-coding RNA (391 nucleotides) under Mytilus galloprovincialis (Mediterranean mussel). The record is from RNAcentral. Lineage: Eukaryota; Metazoa; Mollusca; Bivalvia; Mytilida; Mytilidae.
AAAAGAUCGAUUUCCCGCCAUGCAUGGCAGACUUGUACAAAAACGAUAUGUUGUCGAAAUUCUGUUCGUAUCUUUUAGACAUCGUAUGGCCAUCGCGCCAUCAUCGUAAUCCAUCGUGUAGCCUUCGUAAUCCAUCGUGUAGCCUUCGUGAUCCAUCGUGUAGGCUUCGGCUGAGAUAUGAAGUUUAAAUACCCGUCUUCGGUUAACCUUCGUAUGUCCAUCUUUUGCUAUCGUAUAUAAUUUCGGCACCAUCGUAUAGACUUCGUUAUUCAUCGUACUUUCUUCGGUCACUUUUUGGUAUUUUAACGAGAUCGGGACCAACUUCGUACGAACUUACAAUUUUCGCAUUCGGGUGUCCAUCGUAUAUAAAAAUCGGGGCAGUGUGACGUGG